This 31-nucleotide small RNA is filed under the name Bombyx mori (domestic silkworm). RNAcentral's name for it is "ovarian small RNA-2418". The record is from RNAcentral. Lineage: Eukaryota; Metazoa; Arthropoda; Insecta; Lepidoptera; Bombycidae.
UUGGAGCUGCGUGCCUCCUGUAUUAGGAGCC